Molecule: long non-coding RNA, 4066 nt
Filed under: Equus caballus (horse)
Lineage: Eukaryota; Metazoa; Chordata; Mammalia; Perissodactyla; Equidae
Description: lncRNA (ENSECAG00000051899.1)
Source: RNAcentral
AAAGCACACCCGAGGGGGUCGUGUCCCACACUAGGCAGAUCUAAUGGUGCCACAAAAGACAGGUGUUUUGUCAGAUUUCAGCCACACACUUUCACACCUGCAGCGCAUUAACUACAGCAGCAAUGUUAAUGAAGACCAGGUGCCUGUUCUCCAACUUAAAUGAGGAACUGGCAUGAGGCUUGCUGUUUGCUACCUGACGCCUUCCUCGGUGUCUCUGAAACUGGCCUUCUAGUUCCCUGGUCCUGGCGCUUCUACUGUUGAUGAGCAGCUCUUAGAGGUUUUAAAGAACUUGGUUCAUUUUGUGAGGAAACAUCUUGGUCUUAUAAGGAUUUGAAUUUGUGGACCAUGCUGGAAUAGAACAUCUUCUCUGACACUAACUUUUUUUAAAUGCAAGAACUAAAGGCAGACAAAGCCUUCCCAGAUCAAUUCGCAGUGGUACAAGACAGGCAUAGAGCUGAUGCGAGAGGCGACAAGACCCUAAUGGAAGGCAGCACACUGCUCUCUGGGGAUUCCCAAGCUCACCCGCCCAGUGAGGGAAAACGUUUUCGUGGAGAGCGAGGCAAUCAUUUCGCAAAUUGCUGCUUGCACCCUGCUAAGAGCCAGCUACACGCCUGGAAAAGCAGCUUCAUCUGCUCCGCACCUGCGCGAGCACGUGCCUCCAUUGACUAGUUUACUUGCCUUGAUCAGGGCAGGAGCAGGCAGGCGCAGGACGUCAAUGAUGCUUCGUUUUGAGGAAAUGUCAUAACGCCUAUGACAAAAACGGGUGGCUCUAGGGCAGCAGGACCUCCUCCUCCCACAAGGUUUUCUUGUUAUGCCCUUGAUGUCACCUCUCUUGGCUGUAUUCCCCCUGCCACCACCCAAGGGGUGAGGAGGAGUUCUCGCUCAGACCACGUGAUUGGCGUUCUCUGCCUAGUCCCUUUAUCCUUCCCCACGCUGGCCCUCCUGCACUCAGCCCAAGAGCCUUGCUAUUUUUACUUCUCUGUGAGGGGAUCUCAGGUUACAGAUGAUAUACCGAUGAGGAUAGACAACACGUGGCAUAGCAGAAAGAGUAUGGAAUUUAUGCAUGACUCGGACAAGUUUCUUACUUUGAGCCCUCAUUUCCUUAUCUGUAAAAUGGAAAUAAUAACGUCAAGGUGGUAUUUAGGGGAAAAGACUGUGGGCUUUGAGAGAGAAUGGCUAAGAAUUUUAUCAACUACUUCCCAGACUAUCAAAAUAAAGGGAGCCAAGAUGGAGAAACCAGGACUAAAAAGCCAUUGAAUUUCACAUGAUUAUAUCAACUUUCUCUUUCUUUCUGAAUCAUUGGAGCUUUAGAAGGAACUUUUGGACAUGAGUAACUUUAAUUUGUAUUCCAGUUAUGCACCAUUUUAGCACGGCAUCGUGUUUGAUGAAUAGCUCAUCCAGAAUGAUUCAUUUAUUUCUAGUAAAGGGAUGGAAUGGGUGGGGUUCAGGCUCACUCACUCAUUUAUUAUUUCUUCUCUGUGAUACAAAAACAGAAUAGUUUCAGAAUUAGAGGAUUUUAGUGUUGAUAUUGUCUGAUGUAAUACGUUUCUGUGUGUAUUUUCUUAGUUUUUUUGAGGUAUAAUUUAUGUGCAAUAAAUUGCCCCACUUUAAAUGUGCAGUUUGGUAGUAUUAGCAAUUGUAUACAGUUGUGUAAUCAAUACCACAAUCAAGUAACUUCCAUUAUCUCAAAUGUUCUCUUGCCCCCUUUUAGUCAAGUGUCUCCCUCAACCCCUGGCUACAGGCAACCACUGAGUUGCAAUCUGUCCCCGUAUGUUUGGCUUCUUCCCCUCAGUAUAAUGCUUUGGGAUUCAUCCAUUUUGGUGCAUGGACCCGUAAUUUGUUCCUUUUUAUUGCUGGACAUUCUAUCAUCUGGAAUAUGCCACAAUUUCUUUCUCUAAGUAUUAGUUGGAUGAUGUUUGUGUUGCUUCUAGUUUUUGGUUAUUAAUAAUGAUUCUAUGAAUAUUCAUGUACUUGAAUUAUUUUAACAUAUGUGUUCAUUUGUCUUGGAUAAAUGUCUACGAUGACGGGUGUUGGGUCAUAAGGUAAGUAUGUAUUUAAUGUAAUAAGAUGCUGCCAAACUUACUGUUUUCUUACUGAUACUGUUUUCCAAAGCUACUGUUAUCACUGUGCAUUUGGAACCAGCAAGGUAUGAGAGUACCUGUUGCUCUAUAUCCUUGUCAACACUUGUAAUUGUCUGUUUAUUCAGUUUUUGAAUUUCUAGUGAGUGUGUAGUGGUAUUUCAUUCUGCUCUGCAUUUGUGUUGCUCUAAUGCCUAGUGAUGUUAAGUAUCUUUUCACAUGUUUAUUGGCUAUUUGUGUAUUUUCUUUUGUGAAAUGUCAGUUCAAAUCUUUUGCCCAUUAAAAAAAGAUCUUGGGGUUAUCUGAUUAUUGAGUUGUAAAUAUUCUCUCUAUAUUCUAGAUACAAACAUUUUGUCAUAAAUAUGUUUUGAAAAUAUUUUUUCCCAGUAUGUGUCUUUCCCUUUGCUUUCUUAAUCUUGUUUUUCAAAGAGCACAUGUUUUUAAUUUGGAUGCAGUUCAUUUAAUCAAUUUUUUCUUUAUAGUUUGUGCUCUUUGUGACCAGUUUAGGAAAUAUUUAUCUUACCCAGCAUCACAAAGAUUUUUCUGUUUUUUUCUUUUAGAAACUUUAUGGUUUUAGCUAUCUUAUGUUUAGGUCUGUGAUUCAUUUCAAGUUACUUUUUAUAUGUGUUGCAAAAAACAGAAAGACUCUUUGGUUUCAUGUUUUUCUUUUUUUUCUCAUGGAGAAAAAACAUUUUUUUGAAAAAACAUCCCUUCCCUAUUGAAUUAUCUUGGUACCUUUGUUAAAAAUCAGUUGAUGUAUAACUCUGAGUCUGCUUCUGGGUUCUGUCCUAUUGGUCUGUUGAUCUACUCUGCCUUCAUUAGUGAAGCUUUAUAGUAAGUCCUGAAAUCAGAUAGUAUAAGGAUUCCAGCUUUGUUCUUCUUUUAAAAACUAUCCUGCCCAUUCUAGGUCUUUUGCCUUUCCCUAGAUAGUUUACAACCAGCUUCUCAAUUUCUAAGAAACUUGCUAGGAUAAUUGGAGUGUUUAGUCCAUUAAAAUGUAAUGAAAUGUUGAUAGGUUUAGGUUAAGGUCUACUUUUUUCUUAUUAAUUUUCUAUUAGUUCCCUUUCUAUUUUGUUCCUCUCUUUCUUCUUUGCAGCUUUUUUGGUUUAUUUGAAUAUUUUUUAGACUUUCUUUUCUUUUUUCUUUUGAUCGUGCUUAUGUCAAUAUCCUGAUUUUAAUUUUAUACUAUAGAUUUCAAGAAGUUACCAUUCAGGAAAAGAAUGAUCUCAAAGUAAAAAUUUUCAUUUUAAAGCUAGACCAUUAAUAUUUGAAUAUAGUUCAGACUUAAAGAAAAUAUUUACAAACUGUAUUCCUGGAAAAGGACAUGUAUACAAGAUUUAUAAAGACCUUCUACAAUUACCUCUGUAAUGAAGAGACACCUGACCUGACAAUAAAUUGGCAAAAAAUUGGAGCAGACACUUCACAAAAGAUGUAUGAAUGGCCAACAAACAGAAGAGUGUUCAGCAUCAUCAGGGAAAUGGGAAAGGCAAAUCAAUACCACAAUGAAAUACCACUAUACAUCUACCAGAAAAGUCAAAGUUAAAAGAUUGGCAACAUCAGUGUUGGCAAGGAUGCGGAGUAACCAGAACUCUUAUACGCUGCUAAUGGGAGUGUAAAAUGGUAUAACAUUUUGGAAAAAGGAAUGGCAAUGUCUUAUAAAACCAAAGAUACACCUAACCCGUGAUUCAAUAAUUCCACAACUAAGUCUUUUCCCAAGAGAAAUGAAAAUAUAUGUCUAUAAAAAGAUUUGUAUAAAAAUGUUCAAAGUAGCUUUAUUCAUAAUAGCCAAAAGUGGAUACAGUUCAGGUGUUCAUCAAUAGGAGGGAUUUCGGAUAGGAGAACGGAUAAUCAAACUGUGGCAUAUCCAUACCUUGGAAUGCUACUCAUCAGUACAAAGAAACCAACUACUGAUACACACAGUGACAUGGAUAAAUCUCAAAAACAUUAUGCUGAAUUAAAGAACCCUUAUACAGAAGAGUACAUGAUAG